UUAGGUGUUUAUUUUAUUUUUAUAUUUUUUAUAUUUUAGUUGUUAAAUUUAUUUUGGUGUGUAAACUGUGGGGGGACAGUGAAAUAUUAUUAUAUAAAUUUAAUAAGUAAGAAUAUAAAUUACUUUUUGUAUCAAUGAAUUUUUAUUUACUGUUUUUUAAUUUUUUCUCGAAAAUAAAAGAUUUAAUUAUAAUAAUUUACUACGUUUCAAAGUAGCAUAAAAUAUUAAUUAGUGGUGAAAAGUUAGCCGGGUUUAUUGGUAUCUAGUUUUAAGUUAACUAUUUAUUUUUUUUAUAAUACUUUAAGUUUAUUUAAUUUAUAUAAAUGGAUUAUCAUUUAUUUUUAUUGUUUACAUUCCUAUUUAGGUUGAUUAAUUUAAUGGGGCUUAAGGUUGGCUUUAGUUCUUUUAUAUUUUAUUUGUUAUUAAAUUUAAAAUUUAAUACCAGGGGAAUUUAAAUUUAAAUACUUAAAUUUUUUCCUUUAUAUUAUAAUGAUUUUAUUAGUAAAAUUUAUUUUUUAUUUUAUGAUUUAUUUACUUUUGGUUGAUGAACUUUACAUUAUUUUGUGGGGCUGUUUAUCAAAAACAUUUUUUUAACUUUAUAUUUAAAGUAAAACCUGCCCACUGUGGAGAUAUAAAGGGCCGCGGUAUUUUGACCGUGCUAAGGUAGCAUAAUCAUUAGUCUUUUAAUUGGGGAAUGGUAUGAAUGGUUAAACCUAUAAAAUUUUUAUUUUCCGUGAUAUUUCAAUUUUAAUUUAAAGUUAAAAUUCUUUAAUUUUCUUUUAAGACGAUAAGACCCUUUAGAUUUUAAUUAAAUUAAGGUUAGGUUAAGUUGGGGGGCUUUAUUUAAUCUUAAUUUAGUUUAAUUGGGGCAAUUAUAUUAAAUUAGAAUUUAAUUAAGUUAUAUUUUAAAUAUUAUUUAAUCUUUAGAUGAAAAUUAAAAAGUUACCUAAGGGAUAACAGCGUAAUUUUACUGACGAGUUCAUAUUUAUAGUUAAGUUUGCGACCUCGAUGUUGAAUUAAGUUAAAUUUAGGGGGUAGCUUUUYUUAAGUUUUAGUCUGUUCGACUAAUAAAUUCUUACAUGAUUUGAGUUCAAAUCGGUGUGAGCCAGGUUGGUUUCUAUCUGAAAGUUUUGUUUAUUAUUUAUUAGUACGAAAGGACCAUUAAUUACUAAUUUUUUGC
This 1180-nucleotide ribosomal RNA is filed under the name Lepidocyrtus fimetarius. RNAcentral describes it as "16S ribosomal RNA". The record is from RNAcentral. Lineage: Eukaryota; Metazoa; Arthropoda; Collembola; Entomobryomorpha; Entomobryidae.